Salvelinus sp. IW2-2015 is the source of this 197-nucleotide non-coding RNA. The record is from RefSeq and is a predicted model, not a curated record. Lineage: Eukaryota; Metazoa; Chordata; Actinopteri; Salmoniformes; Salmonidae.
UGCCUAAAGGUUAAAUAUAUGACCUGGUACUGCCUAAAGGUUAAGAUAUAUGACCUGGUACUGGCUAAAAGUUAAAAUAUUACCUGGUACUGCCUAAAGGUUAAGAUAUAUGACCUGGUACUGCCUAAAGGUUAAGAUAUAUGACCUGGUACUGCCUAAAGGUUUAGAUAUAUGACCUGGUACUGCCUAAAGGUUAA